UUUCGGCUGGACGGACAUAUACUAAAAAUGAAAAGAUACAGAGAAGAUUAGCAUGUGCCUGCGCAAGGAUGACACGCAAAAUGGGAAAAAAUGAUAUAAACGUAU
Uranotaenia lowii is the source of this 105-nucleotide small nuclear RNA. Lineage: Eukaryota; Metazoa; Arthropoda; Insecta; Diptera; Culicidae. The record is from RefSeq and is a predicted model, not a curated record.